GAGAUUGUUCCCUUUUACAUGGAGGUGGUCUUGUGCUAUGCAUGGGUUAGUCCGUUUACGUUAAUCUGAUGGUAUAACUUCGACAUUAUAAGUUAUAUGUAUAUUUUUUUUAAUUUAAUUGUUUUUUUUUUUGGAUAAAAGAUAACAACAUUAUUAUUAACUGAUCAAAUUAACAUAGACCAAAUUACAUCCUGGUCAGCGUCUCAGUGACCCAAUGCUUACACAAUCCUGUUGCAGUCUGCUCUUGAACCGAGCAAGAUUGUGCUCCCCUUGUGCGCUCAUCGUACUUCCCAUCCCUUUGAGAGCAGUGGGUCGCUAAAGCUUCGAAGUUUUUUUUUUUUUUUUUUAUGAUAAAAUCAUAAUGUCAAAUCCAAAAAUACAACUUCAUCAGCAUACGUUAAAAGUACCGGCAGGUAAAUUUUUCCCAUAAGAAAAUAACCUUGCAUGAAAACUUACACAAAUCACAAAAAAAAUCCCAGCAAAGCCCCCACAGUAGAGCCACCAAGAGUCUGCAACUCCCAUCACGAAAAAACAAUAAACUGUACCAUUGUCAUCCUUGUAGUAGUCCAACCACGCGUGUACUGAAGCUGAAAUAUCCGUGUUGCUGCUACAUCUCUUUGCCUCCAAAUUGUACCUGGAUUGCUUCUUGCUAUUAUCAUUAUUCAGUCAUAAUACUCUCCCAAUCCAGUAACAGGUCCUUGAACUACAGAUUUUGUCUCAAUUUCAAGCUCUUCUCUUCAUGCAUAACCACACAAUUUCUUUAAUGUGACCCAACAUUUUAUUCUUUAGCAUUCUUUCAUCAUUAACACUACAGAAUCAUAUUUUUCCACACACACUUGACCACUGCGAAUUUUCCAAAUUGCAUGAGCUACCCCCUUACCUUCAGUUCAGGCCAUAUGACAGUAGCACUUCUCAGUAUUCUUUGUGAAGGAUUACAAAUGAUUGUGGAUUGAUAAGCUUCAUCCAUAAAGCGAUCACUUCUCAAUAUUCUCGACUCCCUCCUUCAUCUAUAAGCCUUCCAACUACAUUUAGCAUAACGUUAACUUGAUCAGGUGCUUCUUAUUUUAAACUGAGUAGCAGCUUGUAUAUCAAUAAUUGCUUACCAAUGACAGUAGCACAAAGAACAAUUUACGUAUGGAUUUUGAGCAAACAGGAAGAACAUAACACUCGAGGGACAUGUUCUCACAUUCUUCUUAUAAAAAAAAAGUACAUCUUGAUGAAUUAAAUCAUUAUUUUAAACAAACUAAAUCCUUACCAUUGCAACCCUUUUCCCAAUUUGUAAGAAGGGACUCAAUCCGGAAAGAUGAGCUCUGCAAGCCUUCUUCCCAAGUCAUUUGGCUGAAACCUCUGUAAUUGCAUUGUGAAAUUGAUGUAUCUUACUCCAGUGUCACUACUUCAUUACAGAUAAGAAAGC
RNAcentral lists this long non-coding RNA (1414 nucleotides) under Aquilegia coerulea. Its description in RNAcentral is "long non-coding RNA (ACOE_LNC000555)". The record is from RNAcentral. Lineage: Eukaryota; Viridiplantae; Streptophyta; Magnoliopsida; Ranunculales; Ranunculaceae.